RNAcentral lists this ribosomal RNA (496 nucleotides) under uncultured bacterium. RNAcentral's name for it is "partial 16S ribosomal RNA". It matches the Rfam family "Bacterial small subunit ribosomal RNA", at positions 28 to 507 of the family's 1533-position model. The record is from RNAcentral.
GAUGAACGCUGGCGGCGUGCCUAAUACAUGCAAGUCGAGCGAACAGACGAGGAGCUUGCUCCUCUGACGUUAGCGGCGGACGGGUGAGUAACACGUGGAUAACCUACCUAUAAGACUGGGAUAACUUCGGGAAACCGGAGCUAAUACCGGAUAAUAUAUUGAACCGCAUGGUUCAAUAGUGAAAGACGGUUUUGCUGUCACUUAUAGAUGGAUCCGCGCCGCAUUAGCUAGUUGGUAAGGUACAGCUUACCAAGGCAACGAUGCGUAGCCGACCUGAGAGGGUGAUCGGCCACACUGGAACUGAGACACGGUCCAGACUCCUACGGGAGGCAGCAGUAGGGAAUCUUCCGCAAUGGGCGAAAGCCUGACGGAGCAACGCCGCGUGAGUGAUGAAGGUCUUCGGAUCGUAAAACUCUGUUAUUAGGGAAGAACAAAUGUGUAAGUAACUAUGCACGUCUUGACGGUACCUAAUCAGAAAGCCACGGCUAACUACGUG